Molecule: ribosomal RNA, 411 nt
Filed under: uncultured bacterium
Lineage: Bacteria
Description: bacterial SSU rRNA
Rfam family: Bacterial small subunit ribosomal RNA
Source: RNAcentral
GAACGAGAAAGUGGAGCAAUCCAUGAGUACAGUGGCGACCGGGUGAGUAACACGUGACCAACCUACCCUCGAGUGGGGAAUAACUCCGGGAAACCGGAGCUAAUACCGCAUAACAUCGCAAGAUCAAAGCCGCAAGGCGCUUGAGGAGGGGGUCGCGGCUGAUUAGCUAGUUGGUAGGGUAAUGGCCUACCAAGGCGAAGAUCGGUAGCCGGCCUGAGAGGGCGCACGGCCACACUGGAACUGAAACACGGUCCAGACUCCUACGGGAGGCAGCAGUGGGGAAUUUUGCGCAAUGGGGGAAACCCUGACGCGGCAACGCCGCGUGGAGGAUGAAGUCCCUUGGGACGUAAACUCCUUUCGACCGGGACGAUACUGACGGUACCGGAAGAAGAAGCACCGGCUAACUCUGUG